This 468-nucleotide ribosomal RNA is filed under the name uncultured bacterium. RNAcentral describes it as "partial 16S ribosomal RNA". It matches the Rfam family "Bacterial small subunit ribosomal RNA", at positions 28 to 507 of the family's 1533-position model. The record is from RNAcentral.
GACGAACGCUGGCGGCGUGCUUAACACAUGCAAGUCGAACGGAAAGGCCCUGCUUUUGUGGGGUGCUCGAGUGGCGAACGGGUGAGUAACACGUGAGUAACCUGCCCUUGACUUUGGGAUAACUUCAGGAAACUGGGGCUAAUACCGGAUAGGAGCUCCUGCUGCAUGGUGGGGGUUGGAAAGUUUCGGCGGUUGGGGAUGGACUCGCGGCUUAUCAGCUUGUUGGUGGGGUAGUGGCUUACCAAGGCUUUGACGGGUAGCCGGCCUGAGAGGGUGACCGGCCACGUUGGGACUGAGGUACGGCCCAGAGUCCUACGGGAGGCAGCAGUGGGGAAUAUUGCACAAUGGGCGGAAGCCUGAUGCAGCAACGCCGCGUGCGGGAUGACGGCCUUCGGGUUGUAAACCGCUUUCGCCUGUGACGAAGCGUGAGUGACGGUAAUGGGUAAAGAAGCACCGGCUAACUACGUG